RNAcentral lists this ribosomal RNA (415 nucleotides) under uncultured bacterium. RNAcentral describes it as "bacterial SSU rRNA". It matches the Rfam family "Bacterial small subunit ribosomal RNA", at positions 33 to 492 of the family's 1533-position model. The record is from RNAcentral.
UACGCUGGCGGCACGCCUAACACAUGCAAGUCGAACGAAGUAGCAAUACUUAGUGGCAGACGGGUGAGUAACAUGUAGGUAUCUGCCCUUUGGCCUGGAAUAACACGAGGAAACUUGUGCUAAUACCGGAUAAGUCUUUACGGAGAAAGCUUUAUGCACCAUUGGAUGAGCCUGCACUUGAUUAGUUUGUUGGUGGGGUAAUGGCCUACCAAGACUGUGAUCAAUAGCUGAUUUGAGAGGAUGAUCAGCCACAUUGGGACUGAGACACGGCCCAAACUCCUACGGGAGGCAGCAGUGGGGAAUCUUGCACAAUGGAGGAAACUCUGAUGCAGCGAUGCCGCGUGAGUGAAGAAGGCCUUUGGGUUGUAAAGCUCUUUCGUCGGGGAAGAAAAUGACUGUACCCGAAUAAGAAGGU